UUUAAAAGGUAUACAUUUUGAUUUCUUAUAGUUAAAUCAAUCUGAUAUUUUACAUGUUUCCAUUCUAUUUUUAUUUUCCAGACCUUGGAAACCCAGGACCAUACCGAUCUAGCAAUAGCACACUCAAAAAAUAUAUGAACAAUAGACUCAACAUUUCCACACCUACUACAUCUUUCAUCCCUAACUCUGUGAUACAAGCGUUGUAUCCCUUUAAGCACAUCUUCUUCUAACGUGUCAUCAGUUUGCAGAUCCUUAAAAAGCUUCUUCGUUUUCAAUUUCUUCUUCCAUCGAUAUUCCUUGUGUCAUUUCCAUUAGACCGUCUGGAUCGGUUGCAGCCGCAUCGAGACGUCGACUGGAACGUUGAUUGGCCGACCCAUCGUGGAUGACAAGAGAUCCCCCCUUGCCACCUAGGGCCUCCAUAGAAGAAGCACAGCUCGUUGAAGGGGACGGCUCCCCCAUCUAACUACCUCGGAAAUCACCCGAGGUGUUAGAAAAAUUAGUUGUAAAGUCAGUAAAACCACAAAACGAAACUCACCAAAAAAAGGCUGUAAAACUUCUAAAACGUCCAAA
Centruroides sculpturatus (bark scorpion) is the source of this 570-nucleotide long non-coding RNA. RefSeq lists it as uncharacterized. NCBI's taxonomy places the organism in Eukaryota, Metazoa, Arthropoda, Arachnida, Scorpiones, Buthidae. The record is from RefSeq and is a predicted model, not a curated record. The transcript is spliced from 3 exons.